This 358-nucleotide ribosomal RNA is filed under the name uncultured eukaryote. Its description in RNAcentral is "LSU rRNA". It matches the Rfam family "Bacterial large subunit ribosomal RNA", at positions 2120 to 2479 of the family's 2925-position model. The record is from RNAcentral.
CUCUCAGCUUAUUUUGCGCAGCUUAGGUGGGAGACGUUGAACUUCUUUUUCCGGAAAGGAGGGAGUCAUCAGUGAGAUACCACCCUUGGUAAGCUAGAGCGCUCAUUUCUAACCGUUAUCCGGUAGAAAGACAGUUUCAGGCGGGCAGUUUGACUGGGGCAGUCACCUCCCAAAAGGUAAUGGAGGUGUACAAAGGUUCGCUCAGGCUGGACGGAAAUCAGCCAUAGAGUGUAAAAGCAUAAGCGAGCUUGACUGCGAGACUGACAUGUCAAGCAGAGACGAAAGUCGGUUUAGUGAUCCGACGGUGCUGAGUGGAAAGGCCGUCGCUCAACGGAUAAAAGUUACUCUAGGGAUAACA